GAUGAACGCUUGCUACAGGCUUAACACAUGCAAGUCGAGGGGCAGCAUUUCAGUUUGCUUGCAAACUGGAGAUGGCGACCGGCGCACGGGUGAGUAACACGUAUCCAACCUGCCCUUUACUCGGGGAUAGCCUUUCGAAAGAAAGAUUAAUACCCGAUGGCAUAAUGAUUCCGCAUGGUUUCAUUAUUAAAGGAUUCCGGUAAAGGAUGGGGAUGCGUUCCAUUAGGUUGUUGGUGAGGUAACGGCUCACCAAGCCUUCGAUGGAUAGGGGUUCUGAGAGGAAGGUCCCCCACAUUGGAACUGAGACACGGUCCAAACUCCUACGGGAGGCAGCAGUGAGGAAUAUUGGUCAAUGGGCGCUAGCCUGAACCAGCCAAGUAGCGUGAAGGAUGAAGGCUCUAUGGGUCGUAAACUUCUUUUAUAUAAGAAUAAAGUGCAGUAUGUAUACUGUUUUGUAUGUAUUAUAUGAAUAAGGAUCGGCUAACUCCGUGCCAGCAGCCGCGGUAAUACGGAGGAUCCGAGCGUUAUCCGGAUUUAUUGGGUUUAAAGGGAGCGUAGGUGGACUGGUAAGUCAGUUGUGAAAGUUUGCGGCUCAACCGUAAAAUUGCAGUUGAUACUGUCAGUCUUGAGUACAGUAGAGGUGGGCGGAAUUCGUGGUGUAGCGGUGAAAUGCUUAGAUAUCACGAAGAACUCCGAUUGCGAAGGCAGCUCACUGGACUGCAACUGACACUGAUGCUCGAAAGUGUGGGUAUCAAACAGGAUUAGAUACCCUGGUAGUCCACACAGUAAACGAUGAAUACUCGCUGUUUGCGAUAUACAGUAAGCGGCCAAGCGAAAGCAUUAAGUAUUCCACCUGGGGAGUACGCCGGCAACGGUGAAACUCAAAGGAAUUGACGGGGGCCCGCACAAGCGGAGGAACAUGUGGUUUAAUUCGGUGAUACGCGAGGAACCUUACCCGGGCUUAAAUUGCAGUGGAAUGAUGUGGAAACAUGUCAGUGAGCAAUCACCGCUGUGAAGGUGCUGCAUGGUUGUCGUCAGCUCGUGCCGUGAGGUGUCGGCUUAAGUGCCAUAACGAGCGCAACCCUUAUCUUCAGUUACUAACAGGUCAUGCUGAGGACUCUGGAGAGACUGCCGUCGUAAGAUGUGAGGAAGGUGGGGAUGACGUCAAAUCAGCACGGCCCUUACGUCCGGGGCUACACACGUGUUACAAUGGGGGGUACAGAAGGCAGCUAGCGGGUGACCGUAUGCUAAUCCCAAAAGCCUCUCUCAGUUCGGAUCGAAGUCUGCAACCCGACUUCGUGAAGCUGGAUUCGCUAGUAAUCGCGCAUCAGCCAUGGCGCGGUGAAUACGUUCCCGGGCCUUGUACACACCGCCCGUCAAGCCAUGAAAGCCGGGGGUACCUGAAGUACGUAACCGCAAGGAGCGUCCUAGGGUAAAACUGGUAAUUGGGGCUAAGUCGU
Molecule: ribosomal RNA, 1460 nt
Filed under: uncultured organism
Description: SSU rRNA
Rfam family: Bacterial small subunit ribosomal RNA
Source: RNAcentral